Molecule: ribosomal RNA, 512 nt
Filed under: uncultured bacterium
Lineage: Bacteria
Description: bacterial SSU rRNA
Rfam family: Bacterial small subunit ribosomal RNA
Source: RNAcentral
UAUCGCGACGUAGUUUGAUCCUGGCUACAGGACAACGCUGGCGGCGUGCAUAACACAUGCAAGUCGAACGAAGCAUUUAAAGUGGAGACUUCGGUCAAAGCUUUUUAUGACUUAGUGGCGGACGGGUGAGUAACGCGUGAGUAACCUGCCUUUCAGAGGGGAAUAACAUUUGGAAACGAAUGGUAAUACCGCAUAAAGUCACGGAAUCGCAUGAUUCUGUGACCAAAGGAGCAAUCCGCUGAAAGAUGGGCUCGCGUCCGAUUAGAUAGUUGGUGGGGUAACGGCCCACCAAGUCGACGAUCGGUAGCCGAACUGAGAGGUUGAUCGGCCGCAUUGGGACUGAGACACGGCCCAGACUCCUACGGGAGGCAGCAGUGGGGGAUAUUGCACAAUGGGGGAAACCCUGAUGCAGCAACGCCGCGUGAGGGAAGAAGGUCUUCGGAUUGUAAACCUAAGUUGUCAGGGACGAACAAAUGACGGUACCUGAAAAGAAAGCUCCGGCUAACUACGUG